Molecule: long non-coding RNA, 2774 nt
Organism: Lethenteron reissneri (Far Eastern brook lamprey)
Lineage: Eukaryota; Metazoa; Chordata; Hyperoartia; Petromyzontiformes; Petromyzontidae
Source: RefSeq, a predicted model, not a curated record
GUAUGGUCGGUGCUUAAUGUGUAGCACUUCACCACGUUUGAAUGUUUCUGUCGUUUCCUGAAUGGAUAUAGUUGACAUCGCUGUCUGGAAGAAGGGUUGCAUUGCAAAAUGCGAAAAUGCUACUGCUUUUUACCAAGUAUGCUGCGAUGAAGACCUCUGCAACGGCGGAGUGACCGCACAGGGCCACGUGUUCCCCACGAUCGUGCUGCCCCUCCUGAGUCUGAUGACGACGGUGAUGAUGGUGAUGCAGGGUUAGGAGAGGAAAAAACCGGCUCACACGAGACACAACACCAACUCCCCACCUCCUCAUCCUUCAAACCAUCUCAUACAAUAAUUAUCCCUGCAGUCACGAAAGCUUUAAGUCAAGAUUAAUCCCAUACUUGAUGUUUAGACGGAGCGCUCCGGUGUGUUUUCUGCCUGUGCCGCGUGUUGCUCGACACAAUUCCCGACGUUUCGCGCCACGUGCCAAUAGCUUCUUGGAGAAACUAAAGCGUGGAGCGAAACGUCGGACAUCAUGCCACACAACGCGCGGUACAACCCAAAAACACACCGGAGACAGCACAGCCAAGAAACCCUACACAGUGACUUUAGGCCUAGCCAAUGAAUAGUGCAGUGCAGUGUCGCCGUCAUCAGCCACGGUCGAUCCACUGCCGGACGAAAGCCUCCCCAAGCCUCCGUCUUUGUUCACAGUAGUCCUGCGGCGCCACGAUCCAACUCGCACACAGCCACGAGACGACCUCGUCGCUCGGGCAGCGUCCCCCUCCUUUGCCUGCCACUCCGUCGCGAGUCUCGGCCACCAGACAUCUGCCCAUCUUAGCACCUCGUGGCGCCUACGGUGUACACCAGUGGUUCUUGACAUUCACUGCACCACCUUGGGUUCUCAACCGUUCACAAAACGUACAACGUUAAUAAACGCAUGGGUUUGAUGAAACAAAAGUAGUUGUUCUUACGUGCCCGUGCUAAUUUAUGUUUCGAUGUUUUAACGUUAAAAAAAAUUACUGGCAUGUCUCGCACCCCCAGAAGGGGCAUCCCAAGUUAAGAACCACUGGUUUAUACGACACCCAUCUCAUACGCGUGUCCCACAAAGACGCUAUCUAACGAUGUCUCACAUCGUCACAUCUGUGUAGAUUCCGUCCUAACAAAAGUAAUCCAAUGGCAUGAAUCUUAUCUUAUGUACAUACAAAUUCGAGCACUAUAAUCAAUAGCUUAUAUUCCGCAAUUCUUUGUCAUGUGUUCUUCAUAACAAAUAGAAAAGGGUUCAGGGUUCAGACCCAUAGGUGCCAUUAUCUUGCGAUGAGUCGGGACACUGCCUGUGUCGUCGUCUGUACUGAGUGCUGGAGCAAGCUGCGUUCACGGGUGUGCCCUCAAAUUGAAAACCCUAAACAAUGUGGGGAUGCUGCUGCGGCUGCUGCUGCGUUUGGCAGUUGUACACAAGCACAACAAUAACAACAACAACAAAUGUGAACACCUUCGUCAACAACACUGUGGCCUUAAAAGGAAACGUAUCGCAAUAUCUGAUGUAAGAUAUCAUUACGAAGAAGGGCCAUUGCCCGAAACGUCGGCCAUCGUUUUGUUCCUUUUAAGGCCACAGCGUUAUUGACGAUUGCGUUUAUAAUCCUUGUAUAUAUUAAACACUGCCAUCGUGCUGCUUCACGAGCCUGUGAAGAGGAAACACUCAAGAGGCUCGUGAACGCAGAGAUGAGCAAGGUCUCCCAUCGCGUUCUCGCACACGAUGUUCGACGUUUCGCGCCUCGUGCUGCUGGGAGCUUCUUUUGGAAUAGACUACGGCGAACACACACGCAGGAGUGCAGGGAAGUAAGUACACGUGAACACAACAGCACUGUGACGUACAGACUCAUCAGCUGUCAUGGGUAACGGAGCUAUAGAGCAUGUGCGCUUUUCCUGCCCUUAAAUUAAUCAGGACAAAUGAUUGUAGCCAAACUAAUUAAGUUUAGCCAAACUAAUUACGUGAAGGUGUGGGGCAUGGUGCCGUGGUGUAAUGGUCAGCACACUCGACUUGAAAUCCCAAAGGUUGCCGGUCCUGUUCGAUCUCGCGGCGUGGCAGUUGAUGGACCAUGUUUUUUGUUUUGUUUAAACUCCACUCCUGCCUCUGUCCAUGCAGCAAUGUCAACGUCAGUCGAUGGGCAGGUCGAACACACCCACACACACACAUACACACACACAACUCUCUACCUCUUCAGAGCCAGCCAUUGCAUGCCUGCGCCUUCACCGGUUUUUUUUUUCCUUCCAACAUAAAUGUCAUUUUACAAGAGGUCACAACGACGUAGUGGGGCAGAAAUGUGAAUUUCUUUUCAGGAAUCGUUUAAAUUGUAAUACUGAAACUUGCUGGAGAUAUUUACAAUCGUGCAUCUCUGAAUAUUAAAGAUUUUUUUUUACAUAUUAAAAUAGACGGCUGCCAUAUCUCCAAGAUGGCCACCAUCUUUUGUGGAGGACAUCUUUGAAUUUUAGGGGGCAGUUUAUUGUUGUCAUUAAGUAACCCUCGGAGACAAUACAUGGCGAACCUGGUACUUGUAUCACCACUCGAACGAUGAUUCACGUUAUCUGAUCCACUCACAGUACGGUACUGGGUUUUAAACGCAAGGAUCCAAUGGUGUUUGACUUUAAUGUGAAUGCCACGGUAAUUACACUGCAGCAUGCAUUGUACUCGCACGAUAACCUACAAGUUGUUGAUCGCAUUGUAAUUCUGUUAUAUGUAAUGGUAUACUGUAAUGGGUUUUCAAUUCUCGCCAAAAUAUAACGUUUGUCUUGCAACA